UACCAGCUCUCCGAGUGGUGGGGAUGCUUAUUGGGCCUAAAGCAUUCGUAGCCGGUUGGGCAAGUCCUCCGUUAAAUCCAGCGAUUCAAUCGUUGGACUGCAGAGGAUACUGUCCGGCUAGGGGGCGGAAGAGGCCGACGGUAUUCUCGGGGUAGGGGUGAAAUCCUAUAAUCCCGGGAAGACCACCAGUGGCGAAGGCUGUCGGCUAGAACGCGCCCGACGGUGAGGGAUGAAAGCUGGGGGAGCGAACCGGAUUAGAUACCCGGGUAGUCCCAGCUGUAAACGAUGCAGGCUAGGUGUUUGGGCGGCCACGUGCCGCUCUAGUGCCGCAGAGAAGUCGUUAAGCCUGCCGCCUGGGGAUACGGCCGCAAGGCUGAAACUUAAAGGAAUUGGCGGGGAGCACCACAAGGGGUGAAGCUUGCGGUUU
This 427-nucleotide ribosomal RNA is filed under the name uncultured archaeon. RNAcentral's name for it is "bacterial SSU rRNA". It matches the Rfam family "Archaeal small subunit ribosomal RNA", at positions 474 to 903 of the family's 1478-position model. The record is from RNAcentral.